UUUGAACGUCAGUUUGCAGUCGAUUGUGGAGGAUUGCUCUCCACCGGAAUCACCGCCGACAUCCUCAGAUGUAGGAUUUUUUAUUGAGGAGUCCGAUGACGACAACAAUGAGAACGAGGAGCUACGUUUUGAACAAGGAAUCACCCCAUAUUCAUUUGAACCACUGCCUCCCGCGAACCAUGAGAGUGACCGAGAUGAGGCGACUGAUGGUCGAGUUCACCCUCGAGAGCAUCUCGACGUUUCCGAGUGGUUAUGGACAAAUGUUCUGAAGCUCACCCCCAACCUGAAUGCAUGACUCAACAUCCUGGGUUUGAAGCAGUCUGUCUCAAUCCAUGGGUUCUGCAAGUUGAGUAUGCCUCCAUGCUGCAGUAUUAUGGUGAAUAUGACCAAGAAGAUUUUACAGAAGAGGAACGAUACCGUCACACUGCCUACAGGACAUUUGUGAGAUGGUGCUGGGGCUACUUGGGGAAAUGUGUCCGUGUUGUUAUCC
Molecule: non-coding RNA, 490 nt
Organism: Paramisgurnus dabryanus
Lineage: Eukaryota; Metazoa; Chordata; Actinopteri; Cypriniformes; Cobitidae
Source: RefSeq, a predicted model, not a curated record